AAUCCAGGGAAACUUGGUCUAAUAUCCCAUAGAAUUUACAGAUGUCAUCAUCUAUAAAUUAAAGCUUCGGUGGUAUAGGAUUGGCUCGCGUGACAUUAGCUAGAUGGUGGGGUAACGGCCUACCAUGGCCAUGAUGUCUAGGGGUUCUGAGAGGAAGACCCCCCACACUGGGACUGAGACACGGCCCAGACUCCUACGGGAGGCAGCAGUGAGGAAUAUUGGACAAUGGAUGGAAAUCUGAUCCAGCCAUGCCGCGUGCAGGAAGACGGCCCUAUGGGUUGUAAACUGCUUUUAUAUGGGAGCAAUAAGGUCUACGCGUAGACCGAUGAGAGUACCAUAUGAAUAAGCAUCGGCUAACUCCGUGCCAGCAGCCGCGGUAAUACGGAGGAUGCGAGCGUUAUCCGGAUUUAUUGGGUUUAAAGGGUGCGUAGGCGGCCUUAUAAGUCAGCGGUGAAAUUUUGCAGCUUAACUGUAACAGUGCCGUUGAUACUGUAGGGCUAGGAUUUGGUUGCUGUGGGUGGAAUGUGUGGUGUAGCGGUGAAAUGCUUAGAUAUCACACAGAAUAUCGAUUGCGAAGGCAGCUCACAAAGCCAAGAUUGACGCUGAGGCACGAAGUGUGGGGAUCAAACAGGAUUAGAUACCCUGGUAGUCCACACUGUAAACGAUG
RNAcentral lists this ribosomal RNA (667 nucleotides) under uncultured Bacteroidota bacterium. Its description in RNAcentral is "bacterial SSU rRNA". It matches the Rfam family "Bacterial small subunit ribosomal RNA", at positions 145 to 811 of the family's 1533-position model. The record is from RNAcentral. Lineage: Bacteria; Pseudomonadati; Bacteroidota.